AAGUCGUAACAAGGUUUCCGUAGGUGAACCUGCGGAAGGAUCAUUAAAGAGAUAGGGUCUUCAUGGCCCGACCUCCAACCCUCUGUUGUUAUAACUACCUUGUUGCUUUGGCGGGACCGUCUCGGUCUCCGAGCGCACUAAUCCCUACCGGGUUGGGUUGGAGCGCCCGCCCGACGAGUCCAAGCCCAAAACCUCAUUGUAUUAAAUCCGGUACCGGUCUGAGUAUAAAAUUUUUAAUUAAAUUAAAA
RNAcentral lists this unclassified non-coding RNA (248 nucleotides) under plant metagenome. RNAcentral's name for it is "partial contains small subunit ribosomal RNA and internal transcribed spacer 1". The stretch from base 1 to 46 matches the Rfam family "Eukaryotic small subunit ribosomal RNA", at positions 1786 to 1831 of the family's 1831-position model. The record is from RNAcentral.